Molecule: transfer RNA, 83 nt
Filed under: Suillus bovinus
Lineage: Eukaryota; Fungi; Basidiomycota; Agaricomycetes; Boletales; Suillaceae
Also listed under: 2 other names
Description: tRNA-Asp
Rfam family: tRNA
About the family: Transfer RNA (tRNA) molecules are approximately 80 nucleotides in length. Their secondary structure includes four short double-helical elements and three loops (D, anti-codon, and T loops).
Source: RNAcentral
UCUCUGGUAGUAUAUCGGAUAGUACACCCGCCUGUCACAGCUGCUGCGCGCGGGAGAGCGGGGUUCGACUCCCCGCCAGAGAG